RNAcentral lists this ribosomal RNA (609 nucleotides) under uncultured fungus. RNAcentral's name for it is "eukaryotic LSU rRNA". It matches the Rfam family "Eukaryotic large subunit ribosomal RNA", at positions 23 to 673 of the family's 3401-position model. Lineage: Eukaryota; Fungi. The record is from RNAcentral.
ACCCGCUGAAUUUAAGCAUAUCAAUAAGCGGAGGAAAAGAAACCAACAGGGAUUGCCUUAGUAACGGCGAGUGAAGCGGCAAAAGCUCAAAUUUGAAAUCGGCCACCAGGUCGAGUUGUAAUUUGUAGAUUGUAUCUUGAGAGCGGAUUAAAGUCUGUUGGAACACAGCGCCUUAGAGGGUGACAGCCCCGUAAAAUCUAUUCUCAUUGUAAGAUACUUUCGAAGAGUCGAGUUGUUUGGGAAUGCAGCUCUAAGUGGGAGGUAAAUUCCUUCUAAAGCUAAAUAUUGACGAGAGACCGAUAGCGAACAAGUACUGUGAAGGAAAGAUGAAAAGCACUUUGAAAAGAGAGUGAAAAAGUACGUGAAAUUGUUAAAAGGGAAGGGUAUUGAAUCAGACUUGGUGCUGUUGUUCAACUGGGUCUCGGCAUAGUGUACUCAGCAGUACUAGGCCAAGGUGGGGUGUUUGGGAGUGAAAAAGAAGUUGGAAGGUAACUCUUCGGAGUGUUAUAGCCUACUUUCAUAGCUCCUCAGGCGCCUCAGGACUGCGCUUCGGCAAGGACCUUGGCAUAAUGAUUCUAUACCGCCCGUCUUGAAACACGGACCAAGAGA